Molecule: long non-coding RNA, 3527 nt
Filed under: Sus scrofa (pig)
Lineage: Eukaryota; Metazoa; Chordata; Mammalia; Artiodactyla; Suidae
Description: lncRNA (ENSSSCG00050003769.1)
Source: RNAcentral
GAGAGAAGUUUGCUUCCUGGUGGUGAGACUAAUUGGGACUUGAACCCACAGCCGAAACCCUUUGGGACUCGGCACCCACCGUUUAAAUUAAAAUCAGACACCUGCCCCGAGGACUUUGUGAAGUUCAGGUUCUUUAUGUCUCAGCCAAGAAGGAAUUCAGCAAGAGGUCAAGUGACAGGUCAGAAGCAGAUUCAUUGAGAGAGAAACACAGAGUGGGGGCCAUUUCAGAAGGCCAGAGGCCCCGAAUUAUAGGGUGGUGAGUGCCUCUUUUUGCCCAAUGUCCCUCUUCUCUUUUGCGAUGAUUGACAGAAGGAAGUGUGCUUCCCAGAGAUGAGGAGGGAGCCUCUCCUUUCUCCCCCUUCCCUACCACCUGUUUCAGAAUGCAGAUUGGAAAAUGCGUAGCUUGUGUACUCCUAAUUCACUGAGAAUGUUGGUUCUACUGAGUGACCCAGUGACAGGUGAAGAAAGAGCAGUAACUUUGAGCACAGGGCGUGUGCGAAGGGCUGCAGCUGCUUCCUGCAGGCAGGACACCAGAAUGUCGGAGGGACUACGGAUCUAGUUUUUUGGGUCGAUAGAAGGAAAAAACAAUUCUACGGAUGUGUUGGCUACUCAUGCUUACAUCUGUGAGGGGAGCCAGCAUCCUGUCCUACUUUCCCUUCCCAGGAGAAGAGCCAGGUGAUUGGUUCAAGGCCUCCUUACCAGCAGACAGCAGAAGGAUAACUUACCCUGUGAGGAGGAAGCACUCUUCUCCAUAUAUGCCUACUCUUUUUAUUGCCUCCUGCUACCUCUGUACACAAGUGUGGCAAGAUUCUGAAGUUAAGAUGGGUUGCAGCAAACAAGUACAUGCAGUUACGCCUACUUUAGUCUGGGCCUUAUUCGCAGGGUGUCCAGGAUGCUCACACAGCUCUGCUUCUCUUUGUGGGACAUGCCAGGCCUUAGGGGAACCAGCUCUUCUCCCAUGGAGGGAGGUGAACCCUGUUGUCCCCCCCACCCUAGCUCUCAGUUGCCUCUCCCAACUCUGUGACUGUCUGAGCCCCCCCCCCCCCAGAAGUUGAGGCAUCUCUAAAGGGGAUCCCAGAACAAAGAUUCGGGCUGGACUGAAACCAGAUCCUCAGGAAAAGCGUUUGUUUUUGUUGUUGUUUUUGUUUUUAAUCGUAGUUAAUUUACACUGUUAUGCCAAUUUCUACUGUAUAGCAAAGUGACCCUGUCAUACAUUUAUAUACAUUCUUUUUUUAUAUAUAUAUGAUCUUCCACUCUAUCCCAAGAGUCUGGAUACUGUGGUGUAGAGUAGGACCUCACUGCUUAUCCAUUCUAAAUACUUUGCAUCUACUAACCCCAAACCCCCAUCCAUCCCACUCCCCGCCCCCCUUGGCAACUGCAAGUCUGCUCUCCAUGUCUGUGAGUCUGUUUCUGUUCCGUAGAUAGGUUCAUCUGUGCCAUAUUCUAGAUUCCGCACAGAAAUGGUAGCAUAUGGUAUUUGAGGAGGAGCCUGGAAAGUGUGUAAAUGUCUACACUGCUGAGGGGCCCGGGGGCAGGAGCCCCACCAGCCCAACAGAGCUGGAUGGCCUGCAGCUGGCCCCUGGUAGUGUGAAAAAGCCAGGAGUCCAGACCCAAACUUGGGCCUGAUGUAAACACCCCGGAGAGGACCCCCGCCCAGUCCUGAACCCGGGUCCUAAUGCGCAGCCAGGGGCGGAUCUAAACCCGGGGGCAGAGGUAACACCCGGUCCAACCCCUCCUCCCACACAAACCCCGGCCCCCGCAGCCCUAAGUCUCUCAGAGUAAACCCGCCCAGACGACGCCCCCAGACGUAAACGUGGGGUCUGACUCAUAGACCACCAGUCACAAACCCCCAAACGACGCCCCAGACGUAAAGCUGGGGCCUGGGGCGUAAACGCCCCACGCAUCAACCCCCCCCCCAGACGUAAACCCUUCAGACGUAAACGUGGGGUCCGACUCAUAGACGCCCCAGUCGCAAACCCCCAGACGUAGACCCUUCAGACGUAACCCUGGGGUCCGGCUGUAAACCGCCCCAGCCGUAAACCCUUCAGACGUAAAACUGGGGUUCCGUCGUAAAACUCCCCAGCCGUAAAUCUCCAGGCGUAAACGGCAGACGUGAACCGGUUCCGGACAUAACCGGACCCCAGACCCGGUGGAGCCCCAGACCCGGCUCCAGAGCCUGCGUAGCAGACACGCCUGCAGGCCUGGCGCCCAGCUCACCGUGUGCCUCGGACUCCAGGCCCGGCCCUCAGGCGACUGCACCCGCUGAGGAGCCCGUGGAAGGACGGCCGGCCUCAGGCCACUCCUGACCCCUGAGGAGCCCGUGACAGGACGGCCGGCCUCAGGCCACCCUGCGACCCCAGGAGCCCGUGACAGGACGGCCGGCCUCAGGCCACUCUUGACCCCUGAGGAGCCCGUGACAGGACGGCCGACCUCAGGCCGCUGCUGACCCCUGAGGAGCCCGUGGCAGGACGGCCGACCUCAGGCCACCCUGCGACCCCAGGAGCCCAAAUACGCGCAUGAAUAAAUGAAAGAAAAAGAGGACACACCCGUUAACUGCUAUUCCAGCACAAUUUGUUGAAAAUACCAUCUUUCCCUAUUGAGUUAAUUGAAGACUUUUGUCAGAAACCUGUUGGCCGCUAAAACCUCCAAUAAAAUGUUGAGUAGAAGUGCUGAGAGCAGCUUUCCUUGACUUGUUCCGAUCAUAUGCGGGAAAUAAUUCCAUUCUGACAGUAAAUAUGAUGUUAGCUGUAGAUUUUCCUUAGAUGUCGCUGGCCAUAUUGAGAGGUUCCAUUUUGUUCCUAGUUUCUUGAUUGUAUUUAUUAUAGAUGGGUGUUAAGUUUUAUCACAUGCUUUUUUGCAUCUGUUGAGCUUACCAUAUGAUGUUUAUCUUUUAUUCUGUCAGUAUGGUGGAUUACAUUGGUUUAUUUUUCACUGAUAAACCCACAUUGCAUCCUUGGGAUUAAUCCCAGUUGGUCAUGAUGUAUUGUCCUUUUUACAUAUCGAUGGAUUUAAUUUGCAAAUAUUUUAUGUUCAUGAGGACUAUCUAUGGUUUUCUCUUCUUUUCUUAUCAUCAUCUGGUUUCGUAUUGAUAAUACUGGAUUCAUAAGAUGGAUUGAGAUAUAAUCCCCUUUAGGAAAUAAUUUUUAAAGAGUUUGCAUAGAAUUGAUAUUAUUUCUUCUCAGUUUUCAUGGCACUUACUGUUAAAUCAUCUGAGCUUGGGAUAUUUUUGUAGACAGUUUUUAAUUACAAGUCCAUUUUCCUUAAUGGACUUAUAGAACUAGUCAUAUUUUCUAUUUCUUCUUGAGUCAUUUUAUUAAGUAACUUGUGUGUUUCAGGGAAUUUCACCUAAAUUGUUGAAUGUAUGGGUAUAAAGUUUUCAUACUAUUUCUUUGUACUUGUUAGUGUAUUUAAAUCAUUAUAUUGUAAUUUGCUACAGAUCGCUAACUUCUUGUCGAAGGGAAAGGAUGAAUAUACUUCUAGAUUCAGACUUAAAGGAAAUUAACAAUUAAAAGUCACUUAAAAGUUUU